This 479-nucleotide ribosomal RNA is filed under the name uncultured bacterium. RNAcentral's name for it is "partial 16S ribosomal RNA". It matches the Rfam family "Bacterial small subunit ribosomal RNA", at positions 28 to 523 of the family's 1533-position model. The record is from RNAcentral.
GACGAACGCUGGCGGCGUGCUUAACACAUGCAAGUCGAGCGAUGAAGCACCUUCGGGUGUGAAUUAGCGGCGAACGGGUGAGGAACACGUGAGAAAUCUGCCUUCAACUCUGGGAUAACUCCGGGAAACCGGGGCUAAUACCGGAUAUGAGCCUUGAUCGCAUGAUCGGGGCUGGAAAGUUUUUCGGUUGAAGAUGAUCUCGCGGCCUAUCAGCUUGUUGGUGAGGUAAUGGCUCACCAAGGCGACGACGGGUAGCCGGCCUGAGAGGGCGAACGGCCACACUGGGACUGAGACACGGCCCAGACUCCUACGGGAGGCAGCAGUGGGGAAUAUUGGGCAAUGGAGGAAACUCUGACCCAGCGACGCCGCGUGAGGGAUGAAGGCCUUCGGGUUGUAAACCUCCUUCAGUAGGGAAGAAGCGAAAGUGACGGUACCUACAGAAGAAGCACCGGCUAACUAUGUGCCAGCCGCCGCCGUAA